AAGCUCGUAGUUGAAUUUCGGAUAAUAAAAAUUUAACAUCCAUCUCUAAGAUGUGAUUUAAUUUUUAUUUCCUUCCUUUUGAAUACACUCCUUAAAAUUAAUUUUUAAGGGUUCAGUGUUUCAAAUCGUUUACUGUGAAGAAAUUAGAGUGCUUAAAGCAGGCUUGUGCUUGAAUAGAUUAGCAUGGAAUAAUAAAAUAGGACGGCAUGGUUCUAUUUUGUUGGUUUCUAGGAUCACCGUAAUGAUUAAUAGGGAUAGUUGGG
Molecule: ribosomal RNA, 263 nt
Filed under: uncultured eukaryote
Lineage: Eukaryota
Description: partial 18S ribosomal RNA
Rfam family: Eukaryotic small subunit ribosomal RNA
Source: RNAcentral